AUGCUUUAGAAGCUUGGAACAAGGUGUCUAUGUUGAGUUAUUACGUACCCGCAGUAGCAAACUCUAAAGAAUAAAUCAUGUCUCAAAUAAAUCAGUCUUAAAUUGUUAUUGUGACAUUGCAUAUGUGACAAUCCGUCUUUAAUUUUACGACUUUAUAAAUAUUAAAAGUGUGAAUUGACGAAAAUGCCCUAGAGACGAGAUUGUUAACUUUUGUUGACCGCCUUUGUGAAAUCUCAUCCCUGAAAUUUCACUAUUCAUUAUGUAUCUCAUUAUUUAAAUUCAUAUUUAAUGUUUACGUUAUCUUUAUUAGUUAAUUUUAAUUCCAUUAACUUGAGGAGUUAAAUCGAAUGAUUAUCGGGUUUGAAUUUUCAUAAUUAACCUUUAAAAUUCGUUGACCUAUCGAGGUCACAAGUAAUGUUUUCGAAUAGAUAUCAAAACCACGAACGCAUAGGCGAAAGCUGUUUGCGAGUCCGGAUUAUAACGGUAUAGUUACGGACGUUUGAAAUCGUUUUACUAAACUAUAGGUUUUGAAUUAAUUAAACUCCCACUAUGUGGGAAUGAGAACCAAUCAGAGGCUUGGUUUCGGCCCAAUCAGGUAUGUGUUAUUGAAGGGACCAAUCAAAUUAAAAGGGUGAUGGACCAAUCAAAAUUUGAGAAAAGAGGGCAACAACCAAUCAGGAAAAAGGGAUCCCUCCCCCUCCAUUCCCGUCGACCCGUGUACCCACGACUAACUCGAUCUAAUUUUGGGUUCCUCCUGCCAUUUUUUCCAUUGAAACACCACAUCCUCCACUUGCAAUCUCUUCCACAACCUCCCCUCUACCUUUCCCGCUCAAGAUUGAAGGGUUUUAGGUCCAAAAUCGGGAAAACUUCACCGGAGAACCCGAAGGUGCUCGACGGCAAUUCUGCCAUUCUGGUGAGUCUCACCACCCACCACCAUCCUUAAUUAACUCCGCUUGGACCUAGGAAUAAGACUCAACCAGUUGUAGGGGCAUUGGAACACCGAGGAAGUCGAAUUGAAGCUUAUCCAUUCUAGGGUUUCUGACGGGUGCGAGCCAAUUUAGGGCCUUUCCCAGCCAAAUUGGACUUCGCCACAGGUAUAAAACUUGCUCUACUCAUUGAGAUCUUCAUUUCUGUAAAAUUUGAGAAUUUUUUGAAAUAGUUAAAUUUUCUGGCGAGUCGGGGCGGCCGACCGCAGCAUGCGGCGGCGCGUGGGCCGAGAGCCCACCUGACCUUCCUAGGUUAAUUUGGACGCCCCGAUUCCAUAUUAGACAUCCAAUUGACGAAAUUCCAUUGUUUGGUUAUAUUUCCGUUAAGGGCCGCCACUUGGUUAUUAUAUGAUUCGACGAUCCGACCAUUGGAUUGUCACCAAACUUUAAUACGUAAUAAUACAUAAUAUUUAAGGAUAUUAGGAACUGACGGAUUGGGAAUUUGAUGUACGUAUCUUCCCAGAUGGAUUUUCUAAGUUUGUAAAUCUAAAUGUCGGCCUCCACUUAAUGUUAGCGAUUGGCGAAGAUUCGACUAUUGGAUCAUUCUGAAACUUUAGGAUGUUGUUCUAGAAGCUCAUUGAAACUCUUUGGAUAUUACGGAUCGGAUAUCCGAGGUGCGGAUCUUCCGGAUCGAGUUACGUAGGGUUGUGGACCCUACCGUUGAGUUUUGACUGACGAUUGACUUUUGGUCAAUGAGUUACUAAACAUUAUAGAAUGUCAUUAGGGAUGUAUUUUAUGUAAGUUACGUGUUCUAUCGAUAAGAAUUAUGAGAUAUGAUUUGAUAUUUGUUCUAGGCGACGAUCGUUCGUGACACUUCGAUAUUCGUGCUAGGGAGUUGUAGCGCAAAUUUCAGGUGAGUGGGUCUUUUCCUUUUUUUAUAAUAUGUAUAUACACACACACACACAUAUACGAUUGAUAGUUUCGAUUUAUGCAUUUGGAAGAGAAUUUCCUACGUACACCUGAAUUAGACUAAAGUUAUAAGAAUUAGAGAAAUAACGGAAUUUAUGAAAUAUGCUACAUCCUACGGGAUGCACAUGUAUGUCCUACGGGAUGCACAUGUAUGCUUAUAAUCUUUGAUGCCAUAAUUAUAUCUAUGGCUAUGAAUGUUAUUAUGUUGAUUAGAAUAUAUUGAAUCGUUAUGUUAUUAUGUUCACCUUUGCAUCGCACGCUCACCUUGGAUCCAAGUAGGUGCCAGUCUUGUCGUACAGGUUGCAUUAGGCAACUCCGACUCGUAGAUGACCGCGAAUAGCACCAGUCUUCAUGUGAUUGUAGCACUAGAGUGUAUAUUAUGAUUACACCUAGUCCUAUCAUACAGGUCACAUUAGGCGACUUUGACUAUUGUGCUAGCAUAGAUUGAUGAGCAUCAAUUCAGUCGUACAGGUCGUAUUAGGCGACUCCGACUUGUGUACUAGUGUAGAUUGAUGAGCACCUGAUUUUACUUAUAUUACUGUUGAGAUUUUGUGAUCUUGGAUGUCCUGCCCUUAGUUAUGAGAUAUUGUGCCGUAAUGAAUCUUGAGAUUUUGCAGGCUUCGGUAAUUAAUUUUUAUAGUAUACGUAGUAAGUAUAUUUUGGAAACUAUACUUGUUUUAUGGCGAGGAGUUACAAUGUUUUCAUAAAGGUUUUAUAAAACUUUAUUUUCAGGCCCCACUCACCCUUGUUUUUCGCCCCUUUAGGUUUUAAUAGCCGAGCUUUCUUAUCAACGAGGAUUCGUGAAAAAUCUUAGUAGUGGAGAUUACCUUCGAUUGUAUGAUUCUCAAUCCACUAUACUGUACUUUACUUAUGCUCUGACAUCACGGGUGAAAUGGGUUCAUUCCCACUCACAGUGCACUCUUAUAUCUAGGCACUUUUAGGUUUAAAUUUAUUCACAUUUUCGACUACACUACACUUUAUAGCUUCGUCACCUUCUAAGUGUUGGCCAGCACAGGUCGAUUCGGAGUCAAAGUGGGCAUUCUGAAUCGGGGUGUGUCAGUUUGGUAUCAGAGUAUAAGUUUGGGCAAUAUUGCAUUUAUCACGCGUGAAGUAAGCAUUCUCAAUUCUUAAGCCUAAAUGUUGAAUUUUGCCACCUCAUUGACUACCAAAAACAUGUUAGGUUUUCCUAAAUUUUGGGCAGAUUAGGCGACUUAUUGACAUUCAAGAAAAUUGUUUUGGCAACUGACCCUAGACUAUAAACGACGAACCUCCAUGCUAAGGAAAAUUUUGUUUUGGAAAUGAGUUGUUAGCCUUGCAGCCAGACUAAUGUAUCGAUAGUUGUGUAUCACCAGAGAAUUACCAAUCAAUCCAUCACUAUUUUCCAGCCAUCAUUACCAAACCUUUCCAAAUGGGGAAACCCCAAUUAGUUUUGAUUCUUUGGCAGUACCUAUUAAUAUAUCACUUAUUGGAAAUCCUAACGUAAGUUUUUCUUUUCGAAGAAAUUUCUAGAAAUGUCUCAUGUGACAACCUGGUACUAAAGUGGUAGCACUCGACAGGAGGAACAUUCGGGGGAACAUCACUUUUGGUCCCCGAUACCACUAAUCCUCUCAAGCACGUUAGUUAUAAUUUAAAGUCUUCAGGAGGAAGAUCGACUUACGUUAAGUCCGUUCUAAAGUGGAUUACUGGCAAAUUCUUUUUUCCGGCCUUAGGACAUUCCAACCAGCAUUAGUUCCUAAAUUUCCUUUCGAUGUUGUACUCGUCAUUUCGAUGAGUAUAGGCUUGUGACAAUAAGUUGUUAUACCUAUAGUUAGUAGAAAUCCUCGAAGUAGUAAGUAUUUUCUCUAGAAUUAAUGAAACCACAUCACCGGACCAGUUCCUUACCAAUCGUCCAAAACCAUCCACCUGAGUGGGUUCUAACCUGUAAUCAGCCUACAGUGGCAUUACUAAUUGACAAUACCGUCUGAUAUCCAGGAACUGUUAACCAAUAUUCAGGAGGUAUGAUUUCUGAUACAGGACACAAGUACUAGUAUCUGGGAGUGAUACCUUUAUGCAAGAACGCCGAUUCACAGUUUCAAGAUAACGAACAAUAUAAAAAAAAAAAUCGAAAAUAUCAAAUGUGCGUUAAUUAGUGGCACGACUAAUAGAUUGAUUUACAGUUUGAAUCGAAGAAACUAGACCUUGGAAACUUAGGAGCAAGCCUUUUAGGAGGAAAGUAAAUUCAUGGUUAUGUUAACCAAAUUACCUAGUUAGGAUACCUGAACAUUCUCAACAAGUCAUUCUUGUGGUCACAUCCACCGACAAACAUUAGAAUUGGGGAACGAGUUAACUUCCCCUGUAGAAACGAUCGAGUAUCGAAAAAGUUGUGAAGACCUAGUAGCACAUGGCAUAUUGGAAGGAAGUAGUGUGAUACAUUUUGAGGAAGUAUACCUUUGGCGUAAAUCCUUAAACUUUACCUAAGAUAUCACUAAGUGGAAAAGUAAGGUACACUAUUGAUCCAUUUUCUCAUACUACACUAGUUUUCUUGCAUCUUUCUUAGCAACUCCUACACCAUUUGAAGAAAUUAGUUACUAAAGCUUACCGAUUAGGGAUUUACCUAACCAAACAUUUUAUCUAGGGAACCUUAAAACCUAUCCGCGAAGGUGAAAGAAUGAACCAUAGGAUCGUACCUAGAUUUUAGCAACUCAAUCGGGUGAUGAUUAAAAACCAUUAACCCCUACUUCAAGUCGAUGGUAACUCCAACAAACUUUUGGAACUCAGAAUUUUCUCCUAGCUUGUCGAGUUCGACGUGGUCUUACUGAUGACUUUCUCUCCUACCCUAGUAACGAGAGUAAAUUUCUAAACACCGGCAACCAGUUUUAUACCAAAGUCCUCAACUGUCAACUUUGAUUAAAUUGGUACUUUUCUCGAGAUAUGUGAUUUAAGCAGACGAUGUUCUUUUCUUUUUCCAGAAAAGAUUGUAGCGGAAGAAAGUUGUAAUUCUCACAAGGUGUUGUGAAUUUCGAGACAAUCUUUGGUCUUGUCGACCUUAUUAACAAAUUGUUAUCGAUUUUUCAACUAUAGUGUUUUUCCUCACUUAUCGACUGAGGACGGUUAAUUUAGUUGAGAUGUUGAAUAUGAAUAAAGUUUCUGACAACCAAACAGUUGUCUCACCUCACCUAUGUUUUAUACCUUUCGAUGAUAUUGAUCAUUUUGAAAUCUAUGAUGAUGUAUUCUUUAGAUGUUUCGGUUGUGUAGAGACAGCAUGGCAUAUUAUCGCUUAUGUUUCCCAAUAGUUAAAACCGUUCGAAAUGAAUCAUCAUAUACAUAACCUAGAGUCAAUAUUUACCAUCUUUACUUCAGAACCGAAUGACACUUCUCUGUAGAGAAACGUGAUCUUUAUCAAUCUUAGACCUCGCAAGUACAUAUCCAUUUGAAAAGAAUUAGAUUUCUGGCAAUGGCGAUAGAGGAACCAAAUCAACAUCUACGAUUACACAAUUGUGUAUCAUCCCUGUUGUGUAAACGUAAUUACUUUUUACCAUAGCAAAAGACAUUAUCUACUCUCGAAAUGUUUUCAGCCUGUCCUAUUUCAUUUUAGUUAGAACUCACGAGCAUUGGGUUGAUGUUACUUAUGAAUUAUCAAGAAAUUGUUCGAGUGGUUAUACUCACUUUCUGUAUUCGAAUGGAGAUGGGAAAUAUCACCACAAGCUCUUGGUACGAGGUAUCUUGUACAUGUGGAUAUUAUGAUGAUAUUUCAGUGAUUAUAGAUCGACUUAACAAGUCAGCUCACUUUCCACUAGUCCAGAGGGACUACAUUUCUGGCCACUUAGUAAAAUUUCUCAUUCUUGAAUUUACCAGAAUUUUUUACAUUUCGAUCAAUAUCUAUUCUGACUAUGAUUUCAUAUUCACCUUUUAUGUCGAAAGGCAUUCCAGUCACUCUUGGGUAUGUGUCUACCCUAUUGCACUUCGUACUAAUUUUGAAGCAAAUAGACUGUUUAGUUGAAUUGCCCGAACAUUUAGAUUUUAAAUGUGACUAUUAAUUCCUCAAUCAACCAACAAAUACUAUGAUAAGCGAAUCUUUACCGUUGGUGAUUGAAUGUUCCAGAAGCUGCCGUUAUAGUAAGAUGUCAUGCAUUAAUUUCAAUUACCUUGUAUUAUAGAUUUGAUGGACUUGUUUGACCCUCAAAUUCUUGAUUGUUCUUCUUGGCAUAGUUUUGCUAAACUCGAGGAAAAUUCAAUAUGAACUUGCUCAUUAUGGCGUUAUGAAUUGCAUUGUUUGAUUAUAUGGUGUGUGUGUGUGUGUGUGUGUCACUACUAUAUCUCACCAUUACAUAUGUUUCAUUUCCAAGUCUUCGGGAAGCCUUCUUGAAGGCCAUGUGUAUUAAGCUUUGUCAUGUACCACAUUUCACCGCUCAGACUAACGAUUAGUCUGAAACAAGCUACUCAAACCUUAGUGGACAUGUUGCAUUUUGUCCGUUCUACAAUUAGCAUGGUUGUAACACAUAGUUAUCUUUAUUUUAGUUGCUUGUAACUACGGUUACAAUUUUUGGUUUUGGGUAUGGCAUUGUUAAGGCAUAGUAUGGAAAUUUUAUGCAUAGCACAUGAUUGACAAAAGAGUAUUGUGAAUAGGUAGUUGAAUGAUCGAGAUUACAAUGUAGCAAAUUGUGUGCUAUUUGCGUUGUUGCCCAAGAAGGCAGUACGUGAGUGCGAUUGAGGCGCUAAUUGGAUGGUUUAUGUGUAUUUCUCAAUGAGGGGCAUGAUGGUAAUAUUGCACAGUCAGGAAUUUGUUACUUACUUAUCUAGACAACUGUGAGUUGUCGAUAAUACGGGUUGCAGACUAUAAUAUCGAUAACUUAUUCGUUUGACUCAUUAAGCACAAGGUUCUAAAAAACGCUAGGUGCUAGUCGGACAGUGGACUAGGGCCUAGCGCCUAGGCAGCUUGGCGGACGCCUAGGCAGGCUAGGCAAAUUUACUUAAAUUUAUUAUAAAUUAAUUACAUAUUAAAAAAAAACAUGAAAAAAUAUGUUAUUUAAAAAAAAUAGUAUAUAUGAUGUUAGAGUUUUAAGUCCAUAGUUUGGUGUGGUGAUUGUGGUCAUAAAAAGAGAGAAACUUUCAAAAUAUCAAAAAUUCUCCCUCUCUAAUUGGGAUUUCCAAAACAAAACAAUCUAAUUUUUAAGAAUAAAAUAAUAUAAGAUAUUUUGAAUGAAUUUUGUAUUUGUAUUUAAUGUUUUUCUUAAACCACGUGGUGACCCUCCACCACAAGCCCUUCACAUCAUUCAAGGUCCCAAUCAUAUAUCAAACAUAAAAUAGUGUAAAAAAAUUAAAAGAAAAUUUAAUGAUAAGAGUAGUGCUGCGUGUAGGUUUGACGCAUUGGAAAGCGGAAGGCAAUUAUUUAGGGGUUUUCAUCCGUUUCCUCUUCCUCCUCUCACUUCAUCUUCUAUUUUGUUUUUGCUAUUUAUUAGGGGUUUUCAGCCGUUUCCUCUUCCUCAUCUCACUUCAUCUUCUAUUUUUUUUUGCUCUGUAAAUUUUCUCCUCAUUCGACGUAUUCCAAGCUUGCAAUCUAAAUGUUCUCUUUCUCCCCAUACUCCUUCUUCUCUUCAGAUCUACAAUUUUCUGCUAAAAAUACGACGACGAGUGAAAACGAAAGAUGCAACGCGCCAACAGCAACUAAAAACCAAAGAGCUAGUAUGCCGGAAAAAAAAAAUCAUCACCUUGCCCACUGCCUAGGUCGCCUAGACCGCCUAGAGAGCAUCUAGGCUGGUGCCUAACUCUUACCCGAUUUGGCUGGACAAUUUGGUUCAAAUCGCGGUGGCACUCUAGUGCCUAUGCCGAUUUUUAGAACAUUGGUUAAGUAAGUGAACAAUUAGGCCGUUUACGUUAGUUUAUUUAUUUAUUGUUUGGGCUCGACCCAGAGCUACUACAUGCUUAUUCUCGAAGUACGUGACUCUACAAGUGCGUAGGUGAAAUUUUUCUAUGUUCAAUUUUGACUUCAGUACAACUAUUUUAAAUUGUACAUUAUAUUAUAUAUGUAUUUUGACUAUAUGUUACUAUAUGUCUAUUUUGACUAGAUGUUUCCAUAAAGGAUUUUAUAAUGUAGUAUUGUAUUGGAGGAGAAGGAAAGUUUGAGUUUGGAGACAUGAAAGAGGAAUCACUGCACUCUGAUCGCGACGGAAUGACAUUCUCUUUUAUUCAACCACUCUAACUUGAUAUCUUCUUUACAUAUUUAUUUCCCUACUGUCUUUUCACUACUUUUGUAUAGCAAAUGAUUUUAAAUUUUUGGGACAAAAUUUUUUAAGGUGGGUAGAUUGUGACAACUCGUCCCUAAUUUUACGACUUUAUAAAUUUUAAAAGUGUGAAUUGACAAAAAUGCCCUAGAGGCGAAAUUGUUGACUUUUGUUGACCACUUUUGUGAAAUCCAGUCCCUGGAAUUUCACUAUUCAUUACAUAUCUCAUUAUUUAAAUUCGUAUUUAACGUUUUUGUUAUCUUUAUUAGUUAAUUUUAAUUCCAUUAAUUUAAGCAGUUAAAUCGAAUGAUUAUCGGGUUUGAAUUUUUGUAAUUAACCUUUAAAAUUCGUUGACCUUUCAAGGUCACAAGUAAUGUUUUCGAAUAUAUCUCAAAACCACAAACGCAUAGGAGAAAGUCGUUUGCAGGUCUGGAUUAUAACGGUAUAGUUACAGACGUUUGAAAUUGUUUUACUAAACUAUAGGUUUUGAAUUAAUUAAACUCCCACAAUGUGGGAAUGGGAACCAAUCAGAGGCUUAGUUUCAGCCUAAUCAGGUAUGUGUUGUUGAAGGGACCAAUCAAAUUAAAAAAGUGAUGGACCAAUCAAAAUUUGAGAAAAGAGGGUAGUAGCCAAUUAGGAAAAAGGGAUCCCUCCCCCUCCAUUCCCGUCGACCUAUGUACCCACGAAUGACCCGAUCUAAUUCUGGGUUCCUCUUUGAUGUGAAAUUUAUGUUGACACACAAAUUAACCCUCUUUUUAUCGAUUGUAGUAAGUAUGUAAGUAGGGAUCGUUCUAGGCCGGGGAUUAGGAGGGAUUGCUAAAUCACUUGAAAACUGACUCAAAUACGUAAAAACAAGUUUAAAACACUAAACUAGACUCAAAGAAUGCAAAACUAAACUUUAAAACACCAAAACAAACCAAAAGACUCAAACCAGCCCAGAAACACUCAAAACUGCCUUAAAACCACAAUCUGGGCAGUUUCUGACACUAAGGUAGAAUUUGGACGAAAAUUGAUUAUAACUUGACUCAAGACACUUAAAAACACAAACUAAAUUGAUUUCUAACUAAUAUGACUCAACAAAGAAAAGGGGGAUUGAUUUUGGACGAAUUUAACUUUUAAAACAAGAACUUUGAAAACAAACUUGACAAAAACGUUUUUAGGUAAAUUAAGAUGGUGAAAGGCUAGUUAGAAGGUUCCUUCUCCACACAUGAAACAUAUGCAUACGACUCGAUUUCCAAUUACUCUUUCAAUAAACCAUGAAUGACAAUGCCCCAAAUUAACUAGAUUGACCAAUUAAUUCUUAGAUUUCCCUAGAUUCAUUGAAUUGAAUGGGAUACGCAUUACAACCAAAUUAUUCUUAUCA
RNAcentral lists this long non-coding RNA (9458 nucleotides) under Malus domestica (apple). Its description in RNAcentral is "long non-coding RNA (MDOM_LNC007587)". Lineage: Eukaryota; Viridiplantae; Streptophyta; Magnoliopsida; Rosales; Rosaceae. The record is from RNAcentral.